This 384-nucleotide unclassified non-coding RNA is filed under the name Hevea brasiliensis (rubber tree). Lineage: Eukaryota; Viridiplantae; Streptophyta; Magnoliopsida; Malpighiales; Euphorbiaceae. The record is from RNAcentral.
GAAAGGUUAUUAGUACAUCUUCGUGGCCUGCCUCAAAUUGUGGAAAGUUGGAAUAGGCUCGAGGAUUCUGACCCUCAGCCCAGUCAGUUUGCUCGAUCACUUACCAAGGAAGUUGGGUACCUUCAGCGUGUCUUAUCUAGAACCUUACAUGAGGCUGAUGUUCAGACGAUAUUUAGGCAAGUUGUCAAAAUCUUCCAUUCACAAAUUUCUGAAGCAUUUUCUCGAUUAGACAUAAGCACCCCACAGGCAAAGGAUAGGCUGCUUCGUGAUAUUAAGCACAUUCUUGGCUGCAUAAGAUCUUUGCCCUGUGACGAUUUGAGUAAACCUGACAUCCCAAACUGGGGGCAACUUGACGAAUUCUUGGAUCAAAGAUUCGGAUCUGAA